Molecule: small nucleolar RNA, 107 nt
Organism: Cynara cardunculus var. scolymus (artichoke)
Lineage: Eukaryota; Viridiplantae; Streptophyta; Magnoliopsida; Asterales; Asteraceae
Source: RefSeq, a predicted model, not a curated record
AUGCCUUGAUGUGGGCAUUUCUUUAGUAAUUCCUUGUACCUCUCCUAAGCAUCAGGAAAUGUUUCAUCAUCCAGUUGUCUAAAAAGACAAAUUUCAUUUCUCAACUU